GACGAACCGUCCAAACGUUACUCGGAAUUACUGGGCUUAAAGGGUGCGUAGGCUGCGCAGAAAGUUGGGUGUGAAAUCCCUCGGCUCAACCGGGGAAUUGCAUCCAAAACUACUGUGCUCGAGGGAGACAGAGGUAAGCGGAACUCAAGGUGGAGCGGUGAAAUGCGUUGAUAUCUUGAGGAACACCGGUGGCGAAAGCGGCUUACUGGGUCUCUUCUGACGCUGAGGCACGAAAGCUAAGGUAGCAAACGGG
This 253-nucleotide ribosomal RNA is filed under the name uncultured bacterium. Its description in RNAcentral is "partial 16S ribosomal RNA". It matches the Rfam family "Bacterial small subunit ribosomal RNA", at positions 524 to 776 of the family's 1533-position model. The record is from RNAcentral.